This 385-nucleotide ribosomal RNA is filed under the name uncultured bacterium. RNAcentral's name for it is "bacterial SSU rRNA". It matches the Rfam family "Bacterial small subunit ribosomal RNA", at positions 376 to 753 of the family's 1533-position model. The record is from RNAcentral.
CUUGAUCGUGACUCGAGCACGCCGCGUGAGGUGAUGAGGCCUUCGGGUCGUAAAGCUCUGUUGUUAGGGAAGAACAAGUACCAGAGUAACUGCUCGUACCUUGACGGUACCUAACCAGAAAGCCCCGGCUAACUACGUGCCAGCAGCCGCGGUAAUACGUAGGUGGCAAGCGUUAUCCGGAAUUAUUGGGCGUAAAGCGCGCGCAGGCGGUUUCUUAAGUCUGAUGUGAAAGCCCACGGCUCAACCGUGGAAGGUCAUUGGAAACUGGGGAACUUGAGUGCAGAAGAGGAAGGUGGAAUUCCACGUGUAGCGGUGAAAUGCGUAGAGAUGUGGAGGAACACCAGUGGCGAAGGCGGCUUUCUGGUCUGUAACUGACGCUGAGGCG